This 391-nucleotide ribosomal RNA is filed under the name uncultured bacterium. RNAcentral describes it as "partial 16S ribosomal RNA". It matches the Rfam family "Bacterial small subunit ribosomal RNA", at positions 523 to 918 of the family's 1533-position model. The record is from RNAcentral.
AUACGUAGGGGGCGAGCGUUGUCCGGAUUUAUUGGGCGUAAAGGGUGCGUAGGCGGCCUUGUAAGUCAGAUGUGAAAUCCCACAGCUCAACUGUGGGCUGCCAUUGGAAACUGGUAGACUUGAGUGCGGUAGAGGUAAGUGGAAUUCCAAGUGGAGCGGUGGAAUGCGUAGAUAUUUGGAGGAACACCAGUGGCGAAGGCGGCUUACUGGGCCGUUACUGACGCUGAGGCACGAAAGCGUGGGGAGCAAACAGGAUUAGAUACCCUGGUAGUCCACGCCGUAAACGAUGAGCACUAAGUGUCGGAUGAAUUUUCGGCGCUGCAGUUAACACAAUAAGUGCUCCGCCUGGGGAGUACGGUCGCAAGACUGAAACUUAAAGGAAUCGACGGGG